RNAcentral lists this ribosomal RNA (468 nucleotides) under uncultured bacterium. RNAcentral describes it as "partial 16S ribosomal RNA". It matches the Rfam family "Bacterial small subunit ribosomal RNA", at positions 28 to 507 of the family's 1533-position model. The record is from RNAcentral.
GACGAACGCUGGCGGCGUGCUUAACACAUGCAAGUCGAACGGAAAGGCCCUGCGUUUGUGGGGUGCUCGAAAGGCGAACGUGUGAGUAACACGUGCGUAACCUGCCCUUGACUUUGGGAUAACUUCAUGAAACUAGGGCUAAUACCGGAUAGGAGCUCCUGCUGCGUGGUGGGGGUUGGAAAGUUUCGGCGGUUGGGGAUGGACCCGCGGCUUAUCAGCUUGUUGGUGGGGUAGUGGCUUACCAAGGCUUUGACGGGUAGCCGGCCUGAGAGGGUGACCGGCCACAUUGGGACUGAGAUACGGCCCAGACUCCUACGGGAGGCAGCAGUGGGGAAUAUUGCACAAUGGGCGGAAGCCUGAUGCAGCAACGCCGCGUGCGGGAUGACGGCCUUCGGGUUGUAAACCGCUUUCGCCUGUGACGAAGCGUGAGUGACGGUAAUUGGUAAAGAAGCACCGGCUAACUACGUG